RNAcentral lists this ribosomal RNA (688 nucleotides) under uncultured Bacteroidales bacterium. Its description in RNAcentral is "bacterial SSU rRNA". It matches the Rfam family "Bacterial small subunit ribosomal RNA", at positions 45 to 722 of the family's 1533-position model. The record is from RNAcentral. Lineage: Bacteria; Pseudomonadati; Bacteroidota; Bacteroidia; Bacteroidales.
GGCUUAACACAUGCAAGUCGAGGGCAGCAUUUUAGUUUGCUUGCAAACUGAAGAUGGCGACCGGCGCACGGGUGAGUAACACGUAUCCAACCUGCCGAUAACUCCGGAAUAGCCUUUCGAAAGAAAGAUUAAUACCGGAUGGCAUACGAAUAUCGCAUGAUAUUUUUAUUAAAGAAUUUCGGUUAUCGAUGGGGAUGCGUUCCAUUAGUUUGUUGGCGGGGUAACGGCCCACCAAGACUACGAUGGAUAGGGGUUCUGAGAGGAAGGUCCCCCACAUUGGAACUGAGACACGGUCCAAACUCCUACGGGAGGCAGCAGUGAGGAAUAUUGGUCAAUGGGCGAGAGCCUGAACCAGCCAAGUAGCGUGAAGGAUGAAGGCUCUAUGGGUCGUAAACUUCUUUUAUAUGGGAAUAAAGUUUUCCACGUGUGGAAUUUUGUAUGUACCAUAUGAAUAAGGAUCGGCUAACUCCGUGCCAGCAGCCGCGGUAAUACGGAGGAUCCGAGCGUUAUCCGGAUUUAUUGGGUUUAAAGGGAGCGUAGGUGGAUUGUUAAGUCAGUUGUGAAAGUUUGCGGCUCAACCGUAAAAUUGCAGUUGAAACUGGCAGUCUUGAGUACAGUAGAGGUGGGCGGAAUUCGUGGUGUAGCGGUGAAAUGCUUAGAUAUCACGAAGAACUCCGAUUGCGAAGGC